CGCGACUCUUAUUCAAGAAUCCGACUCCUUCAUCAUCGGGUGAUGUAUUUGAUUUGGGACUAGCCAAAGCCAUAUCUGAACUUGCACCACAUGCAGGCACAAAAAAUUGUGCUAAACAUGUACAUGCAGAUUGAAAAAAAAAAUAUAGUGGCCAAGAGUACAAAGCAUUAUUUUGGAAGGCAUAAAAUACAACCUAUGAAGUUGAGUUUAACAAGCAUUUGAAGGAUCUGAAAGAAGUCAAUAAAGCUGCUUAUGAUGACUUCAUGAAACGAGAGCUAGGUUUUUAUCUCUAAUCGAGCUCUCUAGAUCAAACCAUUGAAAUGUGUUGCAAGUUUACUCCUCCUAGAAAGGACAAUGAAGAAACCUCCUAUUUGGAUUUUUUCUUGUCAUUGACGUGUAGAAACGCAAUUGGACUUUAUACUUCGGGCAAUAUAUGUAUCUUCUUAUUACUGAAUUCACAGAUGCUUCACUUGAUGAAUUCAUGUGGAGAUUUUUUA
Ricinus communis (castor bean) is the source of this 497-nucleotide long non-coding RNA. RefSeq lists it as uncharacterized. The transcript has 2 exons. NCBI's taxonomy places the organism in Eukaryota, Viridiplantae, Streptophyta, Magnoliopsida, Malpighiales, Euphorbiaceae. The record is from RefSeq and is a predicted model, not a curated record.